AUAAAGUUUUUUUUUAUGUCUGAGUAUGUCAGAGUUUAUGAAGUCAACUUUAUUUUCUUUUUUUUUUCCACAGAAAAGGAAAGCGGAAAUUACCUUUAUUUGAAUACCUUCUGCUCACUAGCUUGUGGUCUCCAGGCUGACUUGCACUGGCCCCCUCUUGAAUACUUGGUGAUGUUGCCUGGCUGAGCUGCAGCAGGAACAACCCUGGAGGAAAAUGUUUUUAAAGUUCUUUUUAGGAGACAUAAAACUAAGACAAACAGCAGAGCAUUUUGGGCAUGCAAUGAAGAACAAAGUAUAAGCAUAUGGACUUUCUUUGAAAUUAACAAACAAGUCCCUUGUCAAAGCGGAGAUAUUUGGAGCUACAGUGCAUGAAAAAUGUAGUCAUUAUUUCAGAAGAGUUGUGUGUGUGAAUAAAAUAUAUUUGUCUACUGGAUUUUGGUUAUCU
This 445-nucleotide long non-coding RNA is filed under the name Crocodylus porosus (Australian saltwater crocodile). Its description in RNAcentral is "lncRNA (ENSCPRG00005004110.1)". Lineage: Eukaryota; Metazoa; Chordata; Crocodylia; Crocodylidae. The record is from RNAcentral.